RNAcentral lists this long non-coding RNA (2275 nucleotides) under Nicotiana benthamiana. RNAcentral describes it as "long non-coding RNA (NBEN_LNC029272)". The record is from RNAcentral. Lineage: Eukaryota; Viridiplantae; Streptophyta; Magnoliopsida; Solanales; Solanaceae.
GUUGAUCUUGGCCUUUUAUUUUCAAUCAUCCAACAGCCCGAUACUUCCCCUAUUUUUAUAUAAAAUUGUCCAAACCCUUUCAGAACAACCUAUUACCCUUUCACUUGACUUCCCCACCCAGUUCAUCUCUAUGAACCGUAGCCCGCCGCGCUGAAAUUUUUAAGCCACCACCGGCCGACGGCGGGGCCCAAUCGACCCCAAACCCCUACCACACAACCAACACCCAUCCCUAAUUCCUAAUCCACCAUAUCUCCCAAAAUCCCCACCAAAUCCACCAGUUUUGGAUAUAAAAAAAAGAAGAAAAAGCAAAAAUUUCCAAGUCUUAGAGCUUCCAAAAACGAUUAAGGCUGAAAUUUGUAUGUUUGCUUGUUAUUAAUGAGAACACGCGAUUAAUACAAAUUUUGGCUCAAAUCGGAGAAUGUCGGCAGGUCUGUUUAAGCCAAAGUCCGUCUACCUAUUUUAGAUACCUAUGUUCGCUUCUUCUCCUAUCUUUGUUUUCUUCUCUCCCCCAUUCUUUCUAUUUUCUGUUUCCUUUUCUCUUUGACCGCUGAAAAUUCGGAUAGCAUUAGUUUCUGAGUAAUUCUGGACUAAUUUUGUCAAAUAGAUUAGAAUUAAUUUUGUUUGUUUUCCUUUAUUUUCUAGAUUUCGAGUUAGUAUUCAAAGAUGAUCGAGUUUUUUAUAUACUAUCGAUUAGGUUUUAGUCUGGUUGGAUAAAAAUGUAAGCUUCAAAUUCUCAUGUGGUUGGGUUAAGCUCAACUUUGGGUUUUUGGGUCAUUUCUAACCCGUUACAAAGCAGCCCUUGGUUUGGGUUUUGGAUUAACUUGACCCAUUUUGGAUUGCCUGAAAGUAAAUACAGGGGUGUUAAGGGUUGCUUUGAUCUUUUUAAAUUUAGGGAAUCUUUUAAAGCUACCUGGAAAGCUUCUAAGAAUGUGGGGAAGGGGUUUGUUCAAUAAACAGGUUAAAAUUUGGGGGUCUGAAGUGAAUGGAUAAAAAUUGGGGAAGGAGUAAUUGAUAAAAUGGUGAAAUCAUUUAUGUUUCCCUAAGGUCCUCUAUAUAAGUUUUGCCUUCAAUAAAAUUGGUAGAGAGAAUAUACUAAAAAAAUUAAUAACGGGUGAAAGAGAUACUCUGAAAAAUAUACUAAAAAGCUGCAUUGUUUUGGGUCAAAAUUACUGAGAAUUGGUCUUCAAUCUCACUAUUAGCAGUAGUUAAAGAGUUUCAAAGGGUUUUCUGCACUAUUUGGUAUUCAAAAUGGUCUAAGGAAGCUGGUUUUGCUGUGUUCAUCUGCUGAAGUGCACUUUUCUUUUGCUACUGAUCCCUUCACUUUUCUUUUGCUCUAAUUUUCCCAGGUAUUUCUUGGACCUUAUUAACGUGUGAAGUGCAAAAAAUCUGAAUCCAUAUAAUCAAGAUGGAAUUCAAGACACAUGUUGUUUGUUGAAUGAUGUUCUAUGUCUUAAUAUCAUGCAAUUCUAUAGUAGCUUAGUCUCUUUGAUAUGCUUAUCUAAUCAGUGAUGAUUUUGGUUUGAAUCUUGUUUGUAAGUCUAGACAGGUACUCUAAUUUAGCUUACUGUUAUUGUAAAUUAUUUGAAGUUCUAUUUGUAUGUGUGGAUUGUUGGGUUUACUGCAGCAUGGGAUGAUUUAGAUGAGUAACAUGUUCUUUUUCUUGAGAUUUUGAUUGUAUUGUUUCGAGCUAAUAAUAAUAAUCCGCUUACAAUGAGCUCGCCAUGUAAUCAAGAUGGAAUUCAAGACACAUGUUGUUUGUUGAAUGAUGUUCUAUGUCUUAAUAUCAUGCAAUUCUAUAGUAGCUUAGUCUCUUUGAUAUGCUUAUCUAAUCAGUGAUGAUUUUGGUUUGAAUCUUGUUUGUAAGUCUAGACAGGUACUCUAAUUUAGCUUACUGUUAUUGUAAAUUAUUUGAAGUUCUAUUUGUAUGUGUGGAUUGUUGGGUUUACUGCAGCAUGGGAUGAUUUAGAUGAGUAACAUGUUCUUUUUCUUGAGAUUUUGAUUGUAUUGUUUCGAGCUAAUAAUAAUAAUCCGCUUACAAUGAGCUCAUCUCAUAGUCCUACUAUUUUAGAUGUUGGUUAAUAUCCAAAGAAAUUUAGGAACUACUCUAUUGUAUUUUCAUAUUUAGUUUGAAUGUUUAAAGUACUCUACUGUUAGAAUUACUAUGUGUAUGAAUUCAACAUCGAUGAGUAGUAGUUCUGAAUUUUUGUAUGUAUGUGGUUUGUGUUAGCGUGUAGUGUUCUGUUCUGCAAUUUAGAGUUAAAUUAGAUGGGAAAUU